Long non-coding RNA from Octopus bimaculoides (California two-spot octopus), 1000 nucleotides. The record is from RefSeq and is a predicted model, not a curated record. Lineage: Eukaryota; Metazoa; Mollusca; Cephalopoda; Octopoda; Octopodidae.
CAUGGCAAAUAAAACAUGGCAAACAAAAGCAGGCGGCGAAUGGUCACGACUAACCAAACACUGCAUUUAGCAUACUGACAUAGCAUUAAUCUUUCUAAAAUUCCACUUGGGCAUUCAUCCAUAACUUAUCUUCAGGUAUACAUGUAAUUUUUAAGGGAAAACACGAUUUCUAAGUUAUGCUAUAAGGACAUGCAGUUCAUCUCUCGUAAUAACAUAUCCAACUCAACGUCUUUCACAGACAUGUUUAAUUAAAACACUACGGCAGUGGAGCGCUGACACAUCUACACACGACGAAAGCUAUAACAAUACUGAUUAGGAAAUACGGCUUACGGCGCGGAGUGAAGCAUAGCCUCACGCAAACAAGGCGAGGAGGAGCUCAUUUGGCUGACAUAUGGAAUACGUAUAUACGUGCUUGCAGUGACCUUGAGAAAUUGUCUGAAUGCAUAAACAAGAACUGGCUGAGAUUUAAUCCGAAGAACCAACCAAACGUUUCCAUUUGAGUUUGACAUCUAUUUAUUCCGCCUCGACCAUCAGUAUUCAUUUGUGACUAUACAAUUUUUGUCAACAUUGGAACAGAAUUGAAAACUUUCAAGAAUUUGCUGAAUGGAAGCAGCACAUACAGUUCAUCUAAUUGUCGCCAAAGUUGAUAUGCUGCUAGUUGUUAAUUUCUUUUAAAACAUUUCGAUGUUUUUUCCCCAACUCAAUAAGUAAAUUCUCCCUUUUUCGUAUGUAUUUGAUUAGAGUAACAAUCUCCUUAGCGUUAUGUCGUGGAAAGAUUCCGACCAACUCACUAUGUGACUAAAGGGAGACUGACUCGUGAACACUCGACAAUUUUUAUUACGCAUUGACAAUUCGUUUAUAUAUGUUUUCCAGCAAUUUAAUCUAACACAAAAAUAUAAGUAUCAGCCCUUCCAUUUUUAAUAGCAGCAGCUUAAAAACUCAGAGUCAAUGUUCCGCGAAACAUUGAUGAACAUAUUUUCCAAUCAGAAAAUUCUUUUGU